AAACGUUUCCUAGGAGCUCGAUUCUGUUCUAUUUGGCAGGUACAUUCUGAACGUGCGGGCCGGUCACUGUUCUGCGUCGGAGGCUCUCCCCUCGUGGAACUCGUUACCAGACGUCCAAGUGCUCAGGUCGUGCAUGCAGCCUCCCGGUUUUUUUUAAUUUUUAUUUUUCAAGAUUGUAUUUACUCGUGAGAGGCAGAGACAUAGGCAGAGGGAGAAGCACGCUCCCUCUAGGGAGCCCAAGACCAACUGGAUCCCAGGACCCCGGGGUCACGACCUGAGCCCGGCAGACGCUCAACCAGGCUACUGGAGUCUGCCAGUUUAACCCUCUGCGUUCUAAUAAAGCUCAUAACAUUUGAGAGAAGCAGCUGCAGAGACAGAGACAGUGCGCGCACAGGAGCAGGGAGAAGGACAGAGGAAGAGGGAAAAGCAGGGAGCCUGAAGCUGGGCUGGAUCCCAAGACCCCUGAGAUCAUGACCUGAGCUGAAGGCAGACACUAAACCAAGUGAGCCACCCAGGUGCUCCUCUCAAGAAAUUUUCCAAGAAGAAAUAGGAAUAGAACAGUAUAAGAGGAGGCAGGCAAUCAAAACCUCCUAUGACAACCCUGUCGUCACUGGGAACUAAGAUGCCAUCUAUUCUUCUGCUCCACCAUUCUCAGUGCAUGGCUUCCAACCCCAAGGCCUCGUGUUCCUCAACUGUAAAAAUUAAGGAAUCGUCACACCUACCUCAUAGGAUUGGCACAAGGACUAAAUGUAAAACAAUUACAGCACUACUGGUACCCACUGCACAAUGAAUAUUAACUUGUUAUUAUUUGGUAAUCCUAGUCCAGUGCUUUCCCAGAUUCCUUUCCUACUCUAACUUCCUCUCCAUAUCCAAAACUGAAACAACUCAUAUUAGUCCUUUGUACCUGCUGAUAUUCUAGAAUGAAU
Molecule: long non-coding RNA, 926 nt
Organism: Canis lupus familiaris (dog)
Lineage: Eukaryota; Metazoa; Chordata; Mammalia; Carnivora; Canidae
Exons: 4
Source: RefSeq, a predicted model, not a curated record